GUGAGGAAUAUUGGUCAAUGGGCGCAAGCCUGAACCAGCCAUGCCGCGUGCAGGAAGACGGUCCUCUGGAUUGUAAACUGCUUUUGAAUGGGAAGAACACCACCCUUGCGAGGGUGAUUGACGGUACUAUUAGAAUAAGCACCGGCUAACUCCGUGCCAGCAGCCGCGGUAAUACGGAGGGUGCAAGCGUUAUCCGGAUUUAUUGGGUUUAAAGGGUGCGUAGGCGGCUUCAUAAGUCUGGGGUUAAAGGCAGCAGCUUAACUGUAUGCAUGCCCUGGAAACUGUGAAGCUUGAGUGACUUGGAGGUAGCGGGAAUUCCCUGUGUAGCGGUGAAAUGCAUAGAUACGGGGAGGAAUACCGAUUGCGAAGGCAUGUUACUACGAGUAAACUGACGCUGAUGCACGAAAGCGUGGGGAUCAAACAGGAUUAGAAACCCCGGUAGUCC
RNAcentral lists this ribosomal RNA (445 nucleotides) under uncultured bacterium. RNAcentral's name for it is "partial 16S ribosomal RNA". It matches the Rfam family "Bacterial small subunit ribosomal RNA", at positions 354 to 796 of the family's 1533-position model. The record is from RNAcentral.